AGAGUUUGAUCCUGGCUCAGGAUGAACGCUAGCGACAGGCUUAACACAUGCAAGUCGAGGGGCAGCGGGGGUGAAGGCUUGCCUUCACCUGCCGGCGACCGGCGCACGGGUGAGUAACACGUAUGCAACCUGCCCGUGACAGUGGGAUAAUCCGGAGAAAUCCGGUCUAAUACCGCAUGAUCCCCUGUGGAGACAUCUCCACGGGGGCAAAGGAAGUAAUUCCGGUCACGGAUGGGCAUGCGUCGCAUUAGCUGGUUGGCGGGGUAACGGCCCACCAAGGCGACGAUGCGUAGGGGUUCUGAGAGGAAGGUCCCCCACACUGGUACUGAGACACGGACCAGACUCCUACGGGAGGCAGCAGUGAGGAAUAUUGGUCAAUGGGCGCGAGCCUGAACCAGCCAAGUCGCGUGAGGGAAGACGGUCCUAUGGAUUGUAAACCUCUUUUGCCGGGGAGCAAAAGGAGCCACGUGUGGCUCAUCGAGAGUACCCGGAGAAAAAGCAUCGGCUAACUCCGUGCCAGCAGCCGCGGUAAUACGGAGGAUGCGAGCGUUAUCCGGAUUUAUUGGGUUUAAAGGGUGCGUAGGCGGGACCUUAAGUCAGCGGUUAAAUCGCGGGGCUCAACCUCGCUCUGCCGUUGAAACUGGGGUCCUUGAGUGGGCGAGAAGUACGCGGAAUGCGUGGUGUAGCGGUGAAAUGCAUAGAUAUCACGCAGAACUCCGAUUGCGAAGGCAGCGUACCGGCGCCCUACUGACGCUGAAGCACGAAAGCGUGGGUAUCGAACAGGAUUAGAUACCCUGGUAGUCCACGCAGUAAACGAUGAAUGAUAAUUGUGUGCCCCCGGCAUGGAGGGGGGCGUGAUAAAGCGAAAGCGUUAAGCAUUCCACCUGGGGAGGUACGCCGGCAACGGUGAAAACUCAAAGGAAUUGACGGGGGCCCGCAUAAGCGGAGGAACAUGUGGUUUAAUUCGAUGAUACGCGAGGAACCUUACCCGGGCUCAAACGCAGGAGGGAUGUUUUUGAAAGGAGGCAGCUCUUCGGAGCCUCCUGCGAGGUGCUGCAUGGUUGUCGUCAGCUCGUGCCGUGAGGUGUCGGCUUAAGUGCCAUAACGAGCGCAACCCCCACCGACAGUUGCCAUCAGGUCAGGCUGGGCACUCUGUCGGGACUGCCGGCGCAAGCUGUGAGGAAGGCGGGGAUGACGUCAAAUCAGCACGGCCCUUACGUCCGGGGCGACACACGUGUUACAAUGGCAGGCACAGCGGGAAGCCACCUGGCGACAGGGAGCGGAACCCGAAAUCCUGUCUCAGUUCGGAUUGGAGUCUGCAACCCGACUCCAUGAAGCUGGAUUCGCUAGUAAUCGCGCAUCAGCCACGGCGCGGUGAAUACGUUCCCGGGCCUUGCACUCACCGCCCGUCA
Molecule: ribosomal RNA, 1412 nt
Filed under: uncultured bacterium
Lineage: Bacteria
Description: 16S ribosomal RNA
Rfam family: Bacterial small subunit ribosomal RNA
Source: RNAcentral